Oncorhynchus nerka (sockeye salmon) is the source of this 1471-nucleotide long non-coding RNA. RefSeq lists it as uncharacterized. NCBI's taxonomy places the organism in Eukaryota, Metazoa, Chordata, Actinopteri, Salmoniformes, Salmonidae. The transcript has 2 exons. The record is from RefSeq and is a predicted model, not a curated record.
AGAGUUUCUCUAUAUUAGGAGGGCUUUCAUGGAAGAGAAAGUGUGACCGCCUGUCUUCCAACCUCCCACAUGAACAAACUAACAUUCAGAAAGGAAUCUCUCACCCAGGGAAUCUGUGCUAUGUCUAAGGGAAUUUGUAUUGUAUCCAUGAAAACUGUAUCUGAAGAUAGUAUUAUGCACCAUUACUUAGGUUCAGCUUCCCGCCUCUACCGUGUUCAAAAAAGAAGAAAAAAAAUCCUGGAUCAUUCCGUGGUUCAGCUGUGGAAUGUUUGUUUUAGGUUACUUACAGCCAUCAACCAAUCAAGACCUUGAACUUUUUCUGUUUUGCAAGCCUAUUGAUUCCUUGAUCAAAUGAUAACAGUGUGUGUAUAAUUUGCCUGAGACCAAGAAAGUCAACUAUCGCUCCUGGAUAGUAAGCUAGGUUAGUGCCCUCUAAACUCGUCUCCAGUGGAGUAGUUGUCACGGCUGGCUAGGUGUGUAGCGAGGAAUCAGGCGCAGAGAGGUCCAGGGGAAAGAUGCACUUUAAUGCGGCACCAAAAUGAAAUGCGCAAACCACUGACCAACCCAUAACAAGGUCCAACGACACGACGUGAACAACAAAAUAAUCCCGCACAACAAAGGGGCGGGUUCCACACGCUAAAUAGGGAAGCAAAUCAAGCACACACAAAAUAGGAACAGGUGUAACAAAUGAGACAAAACUAACCGAAAAGAAAAAGGGAUCGGUGACGACGACCGCGGAGCACCACCCGAACAGGCGGGGGAGCCAACUUCGGCGGGAGUCAUGACAGUAGAACAAUUUUUUUUUUUUUUAGAUGCGGGAGCGCCAAAAAAAUUCUCGAUCAGCCUGGAAUAUUAUUAUAUAAUAUGGAAUUAUUAUAUGGAAAUAGAAAUAUUAUAUAAAUAUUUUUACCAGUUGUAUUCUCAACUUGAAAAUAGUAAGGGAGCGCUGCUACCUCACACUCCGGCAGCACAACAUCCCUGCUCGUCACUAAACUCAGGGCCCUGGGUGUGAUAAUCUUUCCGAAAAUGUUUCUAUAUGAAGUUAAGCCCCGGAAUUUUGGGAAUGUUGCUUAAAUUCAUCAAAAAAAUGUGCUUAUCACAGUGAACCUUUUUUUGUGGGAUACACAUAAGGCAAUUCUAGGUCUUGUGGCAUAUUUUGGUUAAACUAUCUCCAAUUCAAUGGAAUCACAUGUACAGCUGAUUCUCAAGAUCUUGCACACUAAUGAGAUGCUAUUGAGCCCACACUACUACACUGUCUGAACGAAGGACUACAUGCUUUCUGUCCUCACGGUUUUGACCCUUGCCUGUUCUGGACUCUGUACCCGCCUGCCUGACCAUUCUGCCUGCCUUGACCACGAGCCUGUCUGCCACGCUGUACCUCCUGGACUCUGAUCUGGUUUGGCCCUUUUUGCCUGUCCACGACCAUUGUCUUGCCUACCCCUUUGGAUUAAUAAACAUUGUAAGACUCCAA